RNAcentral lists this ribosomal RNA (652 nucleotides) under Bacillus sp. FJAT-4553. RNAcentral's name for it is "bacterial SSU rRNA". It matches the Rfam family "Bacterial small subunit ribosomal RNA", at positions 57 to 693 of the family's 1533-position model. The record is from RNAcentral. Lineage: Bacteria; Bacillati; Bacillota; Bacilli; Caryophanales; Bacillaceae.
GCAGUCGAGCGAAUCGAUGGGAGCUUGCUCCCUGAGAUUAGCGGCGGACGGGUGAGUAACACGUGGGCAACCUGCCUAUAAGACUGGGAUAACUUCGGGAAACCGGAGCUAAUACCGGAUACGUUCUUUUCUCGCAUGAGAGAAGAUGGAAAGACGGUUUCGGCUGUCACUUAUAGAUGGGCCCGCGGCGCAUUAGCUAGUUGGUGAGGUAAUGGCUCACCAAGGCGACGAUGCGUAGCCGACCUGAGAGGGUGAUCGGCCACACUGGGACUGAGACACGGCCCAGACUCCUACGGGAGGCAGCAGUAGGGAAUCUUCCGCAAUGGACGAAAGUCUGACGGAGCAACGCCGCGUGAACGAAGAAGGCCUUCGGGUCGUAAAGUUCUGUUGUUAGGGAAGAACAAGUACCAGAGUAACUGCUGGUACCUUGACGGUACCUAACCAGAAAGCCACGGCUAACUACGUGCCAGCAGCCGCGGUAAUACGUAGGUGGCAAGCGUUGUCCGGAAUUAUUGGGCGUAAAGCGCGCGCAGGUGGUUCUUUAAGUCUGAUGUGAAAGCCCACGGCUCAACCGUGGAGGGUCAUUGGAAACUGGGGAACUUGAGUGCAGAAGAGGAAAGUGGAAUUCCAAGUGUAGCGGUGAAAUGCGUAG